Transfer RNA from Felis catus (domestic cat), 85 nucleotides. It matches the Rfam family "tRNA". From Rfam's summary of the family: Transfer RNA (tRNA) molecules are approximately 80 nucleotides in length. Their secondary structure includes four short double-helical elements and three loops (D, anti-codon, and T loops). NCBI's taxonomy places the organism in Eukaryota, Metazoa, Chordata, Mammalia, Carnivora, Felidae. The record is from Rfam.
GCCUGGGUGGCUCAGUUGGUUGAGCAUCUGACUUCAGCUCAGGUCAUGAUCUUACUGUUGGUGGGUUUGAGCCCCGCAUCGGGCC